Molecule: long non-coding RNA, 1262 nt
Organism: Gambusia affinis (western mosquitofish)
Lineage: Eukaryota; Metazoa; Chordata; Actinopteri; Cyprinodontiformes; Poeciliidae
Exons: 3
Source: RefSeq, a predicted model, not a curated record
GAAGCGGUGCGGCGCACCUGUCCUGAUUGGCUGCGGCGGGAGCGUGGUUAAGCAGUCUGACUUUGGUCUGCUUUCUUUGUGGUCCCAUUGCUCCUGACAGAACUUGUGUAAGUCUGGUUUGCACCUCCACAGGCGCUGUCGGACUUCAAGUGCAACGUGGCGACAGAACGAGUUUCUUCCUCAGAGUGAAUUUCACUUCAGGAACCUGUUUUUUCAGGCCAACACAGACGGAGCCCUCCUGCUGGCCCACCAUGUGGUUUACUCGAUGCAGGAUGGAAGUAAAGUCUUCACCACUGAAAUUAGGGGAAAUAAAAAAACGAUGUCACCGUAACUGGAUAUGGACUAGAACAGAAAGAGAUCCUACAUCAAACACAUAGAGGUCAAUGGUUAUACUGUUAGUAGUACAAAACGGAAAACAUUUGUCUAGUAGACAUAAUGAGUUACCUAGGGCAGUGCAGCUUCAGCUGCUUACACACCGACUGGAUAAACCAGCUUCCAUCUAUUGGGUGUCUAAAAGAUACGUAGUCUUCAACAGUGGAAAUGGCGACGAGAAAAUCGGAUUCCUCAGGAAUGGACGGUGCACUAUCCUCCUCCACAUCUUUCAGCAACACCCCUUGUUGUACAUUCUUCUCGUGUUGGCAGGCCUGAAUCAGGAACACUUUGGGUUUCCCAGUGAGGGCUGGCAGCUUAGUGGCCACAAAAUGUCUUUUAAUUUCUUUAAUGGCAAGAGGCUGUGAGUCGACCCCAUAAACUUUUCCUAAUGACCCGUGGCUCAGAAUGCAGCAGACGAAGGCGUCGCCGUGCCCAACCGGCUGCUGGGGAGCAGAGAGGCAGCCGACACGCCAUUCCUGAACACCCAACUCCAGUAGCUGGAGUUGCUUCUCCUCAUCACGAAGAGAGGCAACUACCUCCAGUGUCCGUUCCAUCUGGUCCCUGGUUUGGUCUUUACACAUCAGCACCUUGAAGCCCAGCCAGCUGAACACCUCUGCUAGACUCUCUGCAGGGUUUUUUUUAAACAGAGGAAAUAAAAUUGACCAGACAUGACAAAAGUUACAUUUUUAAAAACAAACUGAAAAGAACGUACCGGCAUCUUUGUCUGUCCCCCUUCUCUGUUUGAGGCUGUAGAAAUUCUCAUUGUUUAUGAUCAGGCAGAGACCAACAGGCUCGCUUUUGAGUUCAUAAACCUCAUCCUAAAACAAGAGACAAUGUGACACAUUCAAAUGUAUAAUUUAUAGCAAAAAAAAAAGAAGUUCUAAUCAAAA